AACGAACGCUGGCGGCGUGGAUUAGGCAUGCAAGUCGAACGCGAAAGGGGAGCAAUCCCCAAGUAGAGUGGCGAACGGGUGAGUAACGCGUGAAGAACCUGCCUUCAACAGGGGGAUAACACUCCCAACGGGGUGCUAAUACCGCAUGAGACCACGGGUCUGCAUGGACCUGAGGUCAAAGGUGGCCUCUGCUUGCAAGCUACCGGUUGAAGAUGGCUUCGCGUCCCAUAGCUAGUUGGCGGUGUAAAAGACCACCAAGGCGACGAUGGGUAGCUGGUCUGAGAGGAUGGUCAGCCACACUGGGACUGAGAUACGGCCCAGACUCCUACGGGAGGCAGCAGUCGAGAGGCUUUGGCAAUGGGGAAACCCUGACCAAGCGACGCCGCGUGGAGGAUGAAGGCCCUUGGGUU
This 410-nucleotide ribosomal RNA is filed under the name uncultured bacterium. RNAcentral's name for it is "bacterial SSU rRNA". It matches the Rfam family "Bacterial small subunit ribosomal RNA", at positions 29 to 424 of the family's 1533-position model. The record is from RNAcentral.